Molecule: ribosomal RNA, 1483 nt
Filed under: uncultured Bordetella sp.
Lineage: Bacteria; Pseudomonadati; Pseudomonadota; Betaproteobacteria; Burkholderiales; Alcaligenaceae
Description: partial 16S-23S ribosomal RNA intergenic spacer
Rfam family: Bacterial small subunit ribosomal RNA
Source: RNAcentral
AGUUUGAUCAUGGCUCGGAAUUGAACGCUGGCGGGAUGCUUUACACGCGCAAGUCGAACGGCAGCACGGACUUCGGUCUGGUGGCGAGUGGCGAACGGGCGAGUAAUGUAUCGGAACGUGCCACAGUAGCGGGGGAUAACUACGCAGCGUAGCUAAUGCCGCAUACGCCCUUCGGGGGAAAGCGGGGGACCUUCGGGCCUCGCGCACUAUUAGAGCGGCAAAAUAUCGGAUUAGCUAGUUGGUGGGGUAACGGCUCACCAAGGCGACGAUCCGUAGCUGGUUUGAGAGGACGACCAGCCACACUGGGACUGGACACGGCUGAACUCCUACGGGAGGCAGCGGUAGAGGAAUUUUGGACAAUGGGGAAACCCUGAUCCAGCCAUCCCGCGUGUGCGAUGAAGGCCUUCGGAGUUUGUAAAGCACUUUUGUGGAAAGAAACGGCACGGGAUAAUACCCCGUGCAACUGGCCAGGUACCGCAGAAUAAGCACCGGCUAACUACGUACCAGCAACCACGCUGUGUACGGCGGGGUACAAGCGUUAAUCGGAAUUACUGGGCGUAAAGCGUGCGCGGGCGGUUCCGGAAAGAGAAGAUGUGAAAUCCCCAGAGCUUAACAGGAACUACAUUUUUAACUACCGAGCUAGAAGUGUGUGUCAGAGGGAGGUGCGAUUCCGCGAUGGCAGUGAAAUGCGUAGAUAUGCGGAGGAACACCGAUGGCGAAGGCAGCCUCCUGGGAUAGCACUGACGCUCAUGCACAGCGUGGGAGCAAACGGGAUUAGAUACCCUGGUAGUCCACGCCCUAAACGAUGUCAACUAGCUGUUGGGGCCUUCGGGCCUUGAGUAGCGCAGCUAACGCGUGAAGUUGUUACGCCUGGAAGUACGGUCGCAAGAUUAAAACUCAAAGGAAUUGACGGGAUUCCGCACAAGCGGUGGAUGAUGUGGAUUAAUUCGAUGCAACGCAGAAAACCUUACCUACCCUUGACAUGUCUGGAAUCCCGAAGAGAUUUGGGGGUGCUCGCAAGAGGGCGGAACACAGGUGCUGCAUGGCUGUCGUCAGCUCGUGUCGUGAGAUGUUGGGUUAAGUCCGCGACAGCCUUGUCAUUAGUUGCUACGAGGCACUCUAAUGGGAUUGCCGGUGACAAAACCCGGAGGAAGGUGAGAUGACGUCAGUCCUCCAUGGCCCUUAUACGUUGAGCUUCACACGUCAUACAAUGGUCGGGACAGAGGGUCGCCAACCCGCGAGGAGUCCAAUCCCAGAAACUUGAUCGUAGUCCGGAUGCCAGUCUGCAACUCGACUGCGUGAAGUCAGAUAUUCGUAAUCGCGGAUCAGCAUGUCGCCAGGUGAAUACGUUCCCAGGUCUUGUACGCACCGCCCGUCACACCAUGGGAGUGGGUUUUGCAGAAAGUGAUUAAGCCCUAACUUAAUAAGGAGGGCGAUUACCACGGUAGGAUUCAUGACUGGGGUGAAGUCGUAACAAAGGUAG